RNAcentral lists this ribosomal RNA (488 nucleotides) under uncultured bacterium. RNAcentral's name for it is "bacterial SSU rRNA". It matches the Rfam family "Bacterial small subunit ribosomal RNA", at positions 21 to 507 of the family's 1533-position model. The record is from RNAcentral.
GGCUCAGAUUGAACGCUGGCGGAAUGCUUUACACAUGCAAGUCGAACGGUAGAGGGGGGCAACCCCUUGAGAGUGGCGAACGGGUGAGUAAUAUAUCGGAACGUGCCCAGUCGUGGGGGAUAACGUAGCGAAAGCUACGCUAAUACCGCAUACGAUCUAUGGAUGAAAGCGGGGGAUCGCAAGACCUCGCGCGAUUGGAGCGGCCGAUAUCAGAUUAGGUAGUUGGUGAGGUAAAGGCUCACCAAGCCGACGAUCUGUAGCUGGUCUGAGAGGACGACCAGCCACACUGGGACUGAGACACGGCCCAGACUCCUACGGGAGGCAGCAGUGGGGAAUUUUGGACAAUGGGCGCAAGCCUGAUCCAGCAAUGCCGCGUGCAGGAUGAAGGCCUUCGGGUUGUAAACUGCUUUUGUACGGAACGAAACGGUGAGCUCUAAUACAGUUUGCUAAUGACGGUACCGUAAGAAUAAGCACCGGCUAACUACGUG